GGAGUCCAUUGUGCUGUAACAGACCUGGUCUCAUUUAUAAACGUGGCGUACGCACAAAACGGGGCUGAAAAUGUGCGUACACCACUUCCCACGCAAAGGU
This is a long non-coding RNA of Etheostoma spectabile (orangethroat darter), 100 nucleotides long. RefSeq lists it as uncharacterized. The transcript is spliced from 4 exons. Lineage: Eukaryota; Metazoa; Chordata; Actinopteri; Perciformes; Percidae. The record is from RefSeq and is a predicted model, not a curated record.